RNAcentral lists this ribosomal RNA (253 nucleotides) under uncultured bacterium. Its description in RNAcentral is "partial 16S ribosomal RNA". It matches the Rfam family "Bacterial small subunit ribosomal RNA", at positions 524 to 776 of the family's 1533-position model. The record is from RNAcentral.
UACGUAGGGUGCAAGCGUUAAUCGGAAUUACUGGGCGUAAAGCGUGCGCAGGCGGUUGUGCAAGACAGAUGUGAGAUCCCCGGGCUUAACCUGGGAAUUGCAUUUGUGACUGCACGGCUAGAGUGUGUCAGAGGGGGGUAGAAUUCCACGUGUAGCAGUGAAAUGCGUAGAUAUGUGGAGGAAUACCGAUGGCGAAGGCAGCCCCCUGGGAUAACACUGACGCUCAUGCACGAAAGCGUGGGGAGCAAACAGG